AAAAAUCUUUUUGUUAGGUCUACAUACUAUAUAAGGAAUCCGAAUAAGCUUUACACCUUUUUUUGAAUGAAAAAGAAACACUAGUCGGGAUUAGAAAUUUUCUUCUUUGCACCUACCAGUAAUUUCUACUCGAGAGACAAAAGAAAAGAAAAGAAAAAAGAAUUCAAAUAGAGCCUGUGCCGUCGCUUAAAAACAGAACCAGUGCCGCCGCGUUUAUAUCAGAUGAUAAGUAAAAC
Molecule: long non-coding RNA, 236 nt
Filed under: Capsella rubella
Lineage: Eukaryota; Viridiplantae; Streptophyta; Magnoliopsida; Brassicales; Brassicaceae
Description: long non-coding RNA (CRUB_LNC001347)
Source: RNAcentral